CGGAACUAGCUCCAAGGUUUUUCUCAAUAAGUGUUCCUUUGGGCUCUUAGAUUUCUAGUUGUGCUAAUUUUGAUAUUAACUGAUCCAUAAGAGUUUUUUGUCGUCUCUUAUAAAGAAUUUGUUUUUAUUUAUUUUAGGAGGAGGUUUAAAGAGAAUUUUUUUUGGUUCAUUUUGUCGCGUAGGAGUAAGAGUUAAUAAAUUCUCGAUCCGAACUGUUUGUUUACCAAGGGUUUGAAGAUAAAUGUUUGUAUAAUUGUUUUGUUCAAUUAUAUGGGGAAGUAAUUCCAUUCGGGCCAUAUUGGCAUUGUUUAAUUUAUAUGGAGUAGCAACAGUUUCAUAAAGGACUAUUUGGUUUUGAAAGGUUGAUUCAUCUUCCUCAUUGUCAGUUUCUGUGGGAGUUUUUGAUGGUGCUCCUUUGAUUUUGAGACUUUUUUC
Molecule: long non-coding RNA, 435 nt
Filed under: Amborella trichopoda
Lineage: Eukaryota; Viridiplantae; Streptophyta; Magnoliopsida; Amborellales; Amborellaceae
Description: long non-coding RNA (ATRI_LNC000417)
Source: RNAcentral